Parasteatoda tepidariorum (common house spider) is the source of this 258-nucleotide long non-coding RNA. The record is from RefSeq and is a predicted model, not a curated record. NCBI's taxonomy places the organism in Eukaryota, Metazoa, Arthropoda, Arachnida, Araneae, Theridiidae.
UCUUCUAACUCUUGAAAUUCAAUUUUUAUUCUUUUAAAAGUUUUCUUAAACUGCUAGAUUUUGACAGCUAAGUCAUAUCCAAUGGUGCAAGUGGCUAAACAUGGCAAGUGUCUUCCAUUCUCAUUACAGGAUGCAACACUUUAAGAUGGAACAGUAACCUAUUUUCAAGAGGCAAUGCUUUUAAUAACUCUUUUGCACAUGCCAUAGACCUGGCACCUAAAUACAUAGAAUUUUUUUCUGAAGAAGAUAAGGAUGUCA